Molecule: long non-coding RNA, 1818 nt
Organism: Macaca mulatta (Rhesus monkey)
Lineage: Eukaryota; Metazoa; Chordata; Mammalia; Primates; Cercopithecidae
Source: Ensembl
CUCACUCAUUUCCCAUUUGACAGUUAGUGACAGCUAAUGAGGUUCCAGGAUAUUUUUUUGACUUGGCCAAGGUCACAUGGCUGGGAAAUAGCAAAGGCAGGACUUCCCAUUGAAAGCCAUGCCUGCUUACCACGAGGAAUAACUGAGUCUCUUUUCUCUAGUACAGGAAUCUCACAAUAAGUCCCCCAUUUCAGAGCAGCCAUCAGUCUAACAUGGGUCUGUCUUCUCCUCCUGUAGGAGUUCAGUGUGUGCGGAUCUCAAAGAACCUCCCUCCCAGCACCACUGAGGUGCUGAGGAUGCCCCUGAAACGGCCUCAAACUCGACUUGGACUAUGGGUUCCAUCCGUAGAGUUGGCCUCACUGACAGCAUUACAGGAAGGCUUCGAGGCAGCUCCCUGUGACCAUGUGGCGAUCGGACCAUCCCUGGCAUCCCACUUUGUGGGUGAGGAGACUGCUUCCUAACCAUGGGCUAGAGUCUCAGAUCUGCGAUCUGAGCUGGGAGGAGAGAUCAGGUCCCCAUACACUCAGGGGCAUCGGCAACCAGAGAGGAAGCAGCAGGCUGGAGAGCAGGAGCUCCCACAUCCAUUGCCGGGCGCUGACAGAGAGGAGGAGCCGAGGGUAGGCUCUGGCCCUCCUGGUUUCUGGCCACAGGAAAGGGAGAAAUGGCCAGUGAGCCACACUCACAAACACUGCGACUCUGCCCACGGAGUGGAAGACCGAGAAACCAGAAGCGAUGGAAACCAGGGCUUCCUAGAAGAAAUGAUGCAUUCCCCACCUCCCUCUGUUUGUGCUGCAGUGAAAACUGACACGAGAGAUUCAUUGGAACAUGUGCCCUCGUUCCACUCUCAUCAGCCCACCACGGGGACGGGAGCUGUUCAUCUUUUUGGCUCUGCUCACAGCCUCCAGAACACUUGUGAGGGGCACCUUGCGGGUGCCGUGGUCGGAGGAGGCCCCUGGAGCUCUUCCAGAGGCUGGCACUCUCCGCAGUUGUUGCUCACCUACCUGCUCAGGCCAGGACAGGCCGGAGUGGACAAUGUCUUCCCAGGAGACUGAAGCUGCUCUAUCACUCACCAAACCCCCUCAUCUGCUGGCCUGACCCUGUGCUAUGCUGGAAAUAGCACUCGAGGCGGACAUCCUCUCUGACCUGGAGAAGGGCAGUGCCCUGGAAGGAGAGGGCACAGAAGCAGCUGUUUACAUAACCUCUGAGGGCUGCGAUGGGGCAAUGGGGUGAGCAGGAGAGCGACAGGAGCCCGGGGCAGCUGGUGACCCACCCCUGGAGGCAUUUGUGAGGUGUCGGAAGAGGGGGCCCCUUGAGCAGGGCCUGCAGGGAUGGCUAAGAGUCCAUCAGGCAGAUGAAAUGAUUUGCUUUCCUCACACUUACCAAGCUUAGAAAUGACCUCCUUCGUGCAUGUGAAUGACUUUAUUCAUGUGUAUGACUCACCUUCUUCAUGCAUGUGAUGAUCUUAUUGUUUUCGACUCACUUUCAUGCAUGUGAUGACCUUAUCCAUGUAUGUGACUCACCUUCAUGCAUGUGAUGACCUUAUUCAUGUAGCUGAUUCGCCUUCUUCAUCCAUGUGAUUACCUUAUCCACGUAUGUGACUCACCUUCUUCAUGCAUGUGACAACUUUAUGAAUGUGACUCACUGUUCGUCUUCCCAUCCCCCUAAAAUAUAAACUCAAUGAGAGCAAGACCUCUGUCUACUUCUUUUUAAUCAGCAUGUCCCCAGUGCCUAGCUCAGUACACAGUAAGUACUCAAAACUACGUGUUGAAUGGUUGGGAAUGAAGGCCAAGGGAGAGUCAGGGUGGGAAGGACCUUGAC